Molecule: long non-coding RNA, 1756 nt
Organism: Homo sapiens (human)
Lineage: Eukaryota; Metazoa; Chordata; Mammalia; Primates; Hominidae
Product: long intergenic non-protein coding RNA 1182
Source: Ensembl
AUUGCUUGAGGCUUGCUCUUGGGAAUGGUAGCUCCCUGGAACUUCUGUCCAGCCUGCAUAUCUGGACUGUGCAGGGGAUACUUCUAUGGCCAGAAAAAGCCCUUGGGCAGAGAGAAGCAGGUUCUUGAUGCUGAGAUGUCUGCGUGCUUGGGAGUUGACCACUGCAGCUGCAGGAGCUGCCUGGCAAUGGUAGCAGGUGAAGGUCAUGGUGAAGAAGAUGCAGAUAUUGGCAAUUUGGAGCAUUAGAUGAACUAAUUACAACGUUAACCUAAGGAACAGUGCAACAGAAAAUGGGCUAAGACAUGGAGCAAGGGGCAGAACGACUCUUGAAGAUGCUGAGCAACUUCUGCUUAUAAAGUUGAUUCACUGACUGCUGGUUUGAAAUGGUGUCUGCUAACAAACAGUUGCUGGUACAGCUUCUCUGUAAUGUGAGGUAAAAUACCUAUAAAAGCUUAGAAGAAGAUGUAAACUCAGAACACAGCCAUAAACUUGGACUGACAAUCCCCUGAAGACUGGAUCUGGGAGGACUUUUUGCCAAUAGUACUGCCAAUGAAACUGAAAAGAAAAGAACAUUCUAUGGGUGUGGGUGUGUUACUGAGGAAAUGCUCUGUAGGCAAGAGAAGUCCAGGAAGAAGUUGCACAGAAUACUAUUUUAGUCUACCAGAACCACGGUUAGUAAAGCCUGCUGGAAUGUGGAGCUGAUCUAGGAGCUGUGGGCAUUCAGCUGGAGGCCAUCUGUUGAGAUGAGAACCUGUGAAGAUGGAAGGAACCUAGAUGUUUGAGUCAUGGGGUGGAGAAGAGACCAUGUAAACCUACAUUGAAAUUUGUGUGACUCCCUCCCCCUCAACCAGCUUAGAAGUCGGGUGGAAGAGGAAGCUGGAUGGAACAACAUGAGCCCUGGUCAGGGCAGACUUAAGCCAGGAGAUGAAGUGCCAUAUACAGAGAAAACCUCAGUGGGAUCCCAGAUGGAGCACAAUUCCUGGCUACCAUAACAAAAUACCACAAACUACAUGGCUUAAACAACAGAAAUUUAUCUUUUCCCAGUUCUGGAGGCCAGAAGAUACAGAUCAAGAUGUCGACAAGGCUGAGCAGAGUCCCUGAGGCCGAGAAAACGAGCACAGUGCUGACUGCUUGGAAUCCGGUAAUAUUUCCCUUCAGGCUGCUGCUCUGACUGGCUUUUCAGAAGAGUGUUGCUUCUAAUAGAAAAUUCCUUAUUUUCACCUGUGAAGAAAUCUGAUUUGGACAGUGAGUAUCUUUUGUCUUCUGAAAUGCUAAUUUUUACAACAUUGAGACAGCAGCUGCAGACGUGGAUUUGACAGUCCACCUCCCUUCUACAGCACAGCUGAGUAAAGAGAGUAUGACUUGAGCAUGUAGGUAAGACAGUUUUCAUCCUUAACCAUCACAGCUGGAGAGAUCUUGAUCUUCAUGGUGCUCCCUCCAUACAUUCUAUAGACUUAAUUUUUGGUAGGUACAGUGUGAUGUGUAACUUUUCCAAGAUCAGAGAAUAUCAGGGAGAAUAUCAUAGGCACCAUCUGUCUGUUUUUCAGAGAUAUCCAAACUAUGGCCCAGUGAUUUAUUAUGUAUUAAUUCAACAAUGGCAACAGCACCAUUCUGCCAAACCUUAAUUACUCUCUAUUUGAGGUUGGAUGAAGUCAGAGCUUUGGUUCUAGCCAGUACUCGGUUUAACUGCUCAGAUCUGAGCAUCAAGAUUUUAUGAAACCCCAUCUCUAUUGAAUUUACAAAAAAAAAAAAAAAA